This 373-nucleotide ribosomal RNA is filed under the name uncultured bacterium. RNAcentral's name for it is "bacterial SSU rRNA". It matches the Rfam family "Bacterial small subunit ribosomal RNA", at positions 527 to 898 of the family's 1533-position model. The record is from RNAcentral.
GUAGGGUGCAAGCGUUAAUCGGAAUUACUGGGCGUAAAGGGUGCGCAGGCGGCCCCGCAUGUCAGGCGUGAAAUCCCCGGGCUUAACUUGGGAAUGGCGCUUGAAACUACGGGGCUGGAGUGUGGCAGAGGGAGGUGGAAUUCCACGUGUAGCGGUGAAAUGCGUAGAGAUGUGGAGGAACACCGAUGGCGAAGGCAGCCUCCUGGGCCAACACUGACGCUCAUGCACGAAAGCGUGGGGAGCAAACAGGAUUAGAUACCCUGGUAGUCCACGCCCUAAACGAUGACGACUAGUUGUUGGGGGAGUUAAAUCCCUUAGUAACGCAGCUAACGCGCGAAGUCGUCCGCCUGGGGAGUACGGUCGCAAGAUUAAA